RNAcentral lists this ribosomal RNA (283 nucleotides) under uncultured prokaryote. RNAcentral's name for it is "partial 16S ribosomal RNA". It matches the Rfam family "Bacterial small subunit ribosomal RNA", at positions 524 to 817 of the family's 1533-position model. The record is from RNAcentral.
UACGUAGGGGGCUAGCGUUAUCCGGAAUUACUGGGCGUAAAGGGUGCGUAGGUGGUUUCUUAAGUCAGAGGUGAAAGGCUACGGCUCAACCGUAGUAAGCCUUUGAAACUGGGAAACUUGAGUGCAGGAGAGGAGAGUGGAAUUCCUAGUGUAGCGGUGAAAUGCGUAGAUAUUAGGAGGAACACCAGUAGCGAAGGCGGCUCUCUGGACUGUAACUGACGCUGAGGCACGAAAGCGUGGGGAGCAAACAGGAUUAGAUACCCCGGUAGUCCCUGAGCGGGCU